AUAUAUAUAUAUAUAUAUUUGGUGCAAAAUGGUGCUGCCAGCAAGAUUGAGAGAAAACAAAAAUUGAAAUGGUAAAUAGUGUGUUUGGCGGGUCGAGAUAUUUAGUGGGAAUGGAUUUAUUUUAUGCAAUUGUAUUUAUAUAUAUUAUAUAUGAUAUACAUAGCAUUUGAAAUGAUACAAUGGAGCAGGUGGGCUGCCGACAAAAGUAAGGAAAAUGGAUCAGGUCGGCUAAGUGAAAAGAGAUAAGAAAAUAAAGAAAAUGGUGGCAGCAAGGUACCAGCCGUGGGAAAUGAGAAAAGAGAAGAAAAUGGAAAUGGUUAUUUCGCGGGGCCCACCUAAUGAUGUUAGUGGGCUUUGAUUUUUGUUGCAACUUGGACAUGGUUGUUAGAAGCAGAUAAAAUAACCUGAUAAGGUGAUAAGAAAUGUUGGGGAAGGAAAUAAGUGUCUGCCGAGAUGGAAGUGAUUAGGUGGCGGGGCCCAGUUGGUGAUAUGUUUGCAAAUUGCAAUGAGAUAUUAUUGUAUAGUGUCGGUGCAUUGCCUAUAUAUAUUGUUGUAUCAAUUUUGUGCUUUGGAAAAUGAUAAGGAAAUAAAUUAGACACAGAGGAGAAAUAUUUGAGAAAUACAGAGAGAGUUUGAGGUCAGCCGAGAGUCUGUGCGGUGGGCCGGACUUAUGCCUUGAUGAUCCGAUGAGGAGAAAAUUAUUUUGCAGAGUGGGCUGCUGACAAAAGCAAGGAAAAUGGAUUAGGUCGGCUAAGUGAAAAGAGAUAAGAAAAUAAAGAAAAUGGUGGCAGCAAGGUACCAGCCGUGGGAAAUGAGAAAAGAGAAGCAAAUGGAAAUGGUUAUUUCGUGGGGCCCACCUAAUGAUGUUAAUGGGCUUUGAUUUUUGUUGGAACUUGGAGAUGGUUGUUAGAAGCAGAUGAAACAACCUGAUAAGGUGAUAAGAAAUGUUGGGGAAGGAAAUAAGUGUCUGUCGAGAUGGAAGUGAUUAGGUGGCGGGGCCCAGUUGGUGAUAUGUUUGCAAAUUGCAGUGAGAUAUUAUUGUAUAGUGUCGGUGCAUUGCCUAUAUAUAUUGUUGUAUCAGUUUGUGCUUUGGAAAAUGAUAAGGAAAUAAAUUAGACAUAGAAGAGAAAUAUUUGAGAAAUACAAAGAGAGUUUGAGGUCAGCCGAGAGUCUAUGCAGUGGGCUGGACUUAUGCCUUGAUGAUCCGACGAGGAGAAAAUUAUUUUGCAGAGUAGGGUUCUUUAUACCUUGAAUUGUUUGGGUGAUUUUAUCUCAAAUAUUUUGUUAAUGCUGUUUUGUUAAAUUGCAUAUAUAUAUUUUUUGUUCAAAAAUAUAUUUAUAUUUUGUGAAGCUAAUUUUCAUAAAAUUCCUUGAGAUUCUUGUUAUGGUUUUUCCUACUGGGACUUUUCCCGUCUCAUCCCCUUACAGUUUCAUGUAUCGAGGAUAAGCUUGGAUUGCUAGUUGCGGGCUUAGGUGGAAGAGUUGGUGUCGAGGAAUUAAAUUAAUUUAAUUAUUUAGAGAUGUUGUAUUUUAAUAUUGAGAAAAUUGAUUGUUGUAUCAAUAAAGAGAAUUUUAUAUUGAAGUAUUUUGAUUUAAUGAAAUCGAGGAUUUUAUUUAGAAAAAAUUCGGGGCAUGACAUCCGUACCCAGUGUAAUACCCAUAGUUUUCAAAAGGAUAUAAUUGAAAUUUAAAUUUUUAUUUCUUGUGCA
Cornus florida is the source of this 1709-nucleotide long non-coding RNA. RefSeq lists it as uncharacterized. Lineage: Eukaryota; Viridiplantae; Streptophyta; Magnoliopsida; Cornales; Cornaceae. The record is from RefSeq and is a predicted model, not a curated record. The transcript is spliced from 2 exons.